This 346-nucleotide RNase P RNA is filed under the name Candidatus Komeilibacteria bacterium CG10_big_fil_rev_8_21_14_0_10_41_13. RNAcentral's name for it is "RNase P RNA component class A". It matches the Rfam family "Bacterial RNase P class A". From Rfam's summary of the family: Ribonuclease P (RNase P) is a ubiquitous endoribonuclease, found in archaea, bacteria and eukarya as well as chloroplasts and mitochondria. The record is from RNAcentral. Lineage: Bacteria; Candidatus Komeiliibacteriota.
AUUCAAAUUUAGAUGGCCGCCUGCAUAUUUAUAUGUAGGAGGAAAGUCCGAACACCAUCAAAAGGAUAGUUGGUAACGCCAACCGGCUUAGAUUGUAAAAUUUAAGUUAGGACAAGUGCAACAGAGAAUAUUUCUAUUCGUAGACAAACGGGUAUACCCUUUACGAAUUAAGAGUGAAAAGACUGGCUAACGAGCCAGCCCGUUUCCAUAGCGAUAUGGGGAAAGAGGUAAACUUCUAUUCGGUGCAAUCCCAAGAAAGGUAGGGAGCUUGAGAAUCUUUAGCAAUUUAGAUUCCUAGAUAGAUGGCCAUCCUAGACAGAAUUCGGCUUACAGAAUUUGAAUGAGC